This 71-nucleotide transfer RNA is filed under the name Arripis trutta (Australian salmon). RNAcentral describes it as "tRNA-Ser(UCN)". It matches the Rfam family "tRNA". Rfam says of the family: Transfer RNA (tRNA) molecules are approximately 80 nucleotides in length. Their secondary structure includes four short double-helical elements and three loops (D, anti-codon, and T loops). RNAcentral also lists the same sequence under 1 other name. The record is from RNAcentral. Lineage: Eukaryota; Metazoa; Chordata; Actinopteri; Scombriformes; Arripidae.
AAGAAAGUGACAGAGCGGUUAUGUGAUUGACUUGAAAUCAAUCUACGGGGGUUCAACUCCUUCCUUUCUCG